CCGGCUGCUCACCUCCUCCACCCCUCCCGGCUGCUCACCUCCUCCACCCCUCCUGGCUGCUCACCACCUCCACACUUCCUGGCUUUGGCUCUACUUUGAGUCCCAACAAUUUUACAGUAGUGUCUCUCAUCCUCACCUCCGUCAGUUACAGAUGUCAGCCACUGUGUCCCACCUCUCUGCCCAUCACUGCAAAGAGUGGUCUCUAGACAGCCUACAGUAGGACUUUCAGUACAUUGGCCCUUAUUGGGGUCACCUUGUGAGGGCCGAGAUCACCAGUGAGGAACGGUCUGAGCACCUCUGAUUGUGGGUCCAAGUCUCUCAGAGCCAUAGAAGUCACACAUCUAGGCAUGGAGGAGGAGGAAGAGGAGGAGGAAGAGGAGGAGGACCCUUGUGGUUCUGUGCUGUCAGGGAACUUGGGCACAUGCUCCCUCAGUUAGCUUCAUUUAAUUGUCAGCACACUAGACAAGGUCAAUGACCUCCUCUUGUUAUAUAUAGGGGACAGGGGCUCAGAGAAUUCAGGGUGUUGCUUCCAGCACUGCAGCUGGUUCCCUGGGGAACUGAUGUUUGUGGCCUAGCUUGUCUUAGCCCCACAGCUCCCACACCCAUUAUUUAUGGGACCUAGCCGACACACAGCUCACUGGUGAAGUUUCUGGGAUAGAGCACUCAGAAAUAGCCAGGGCACCAGCCAUUUUUCUAUAGCUUAGUGUCUCCAGGAUCAAGAGCUACUAAUUAGAGCUGGUUAGGGACUGUGAAUGUUGGUCUGCUUAGGGAGUGGGAGGGCUGAGACUCUGGGGAAGAAGCAUGUACGAUCCCUAGCACCCAGGCAGGGUGGGGCAGUCUGCCAGUGCCUGUGCCGAUGUUCAGCCUCUUGUAGCCUCUGCACAGACAUGUUUCUGUACCAGCUUGUGCCAGGACAACUGCCUCAGUUCAUUUAUAGUACUAUAACAAAACACCACAUGAUGGCUUCUAGACAUGAAAAUCAUACUUAUUUAUUUUUCAUGAUUUCGUGUGUGUAUACUUGUGUUCCUGAUAUCCUAUGCAUGGAGCAGAUGUGCAUGCACAUGUGUGAACAUGGAUGUGGAAGUCAGAAAGCAACCUCAGGUCCUUUUCCCAGGAGCCCUGCACCUCUGAUUUUCUUUGUUGUUUGCUUGCUUUGGUUUUGGGGUCAGGUCUCUCACUGAACCUGGAGUUCACUGGUUAGCUCCCUGCCUGAUUCCACCUCCCCAACACAGGGAUUACAAGCCUCUGCCUCCAUGCCUGACUUUUAAUGCAGGCUCUGGAGACUGAAUGCAGGUUCCUCAUGCUUGUCCGGUAGGCACUUCACUGAGUGACUUGUCUCCCCAGCCCGUAUUUCUCACAGUUCUGCAAACAGAAAGUCAAAGAUGAAGCUGAUGGUGGGCACACCUUCUCACGUGUAUGCUACAAGGGCAGAAAGGUCUCAUGUUUCUGAGUCUUGCUGUAUAGCCCAGGCUUGUCUUGAACCUCUGAUCUUCCUGUCUGAGCCUCCCUCAUGCUGGGAUUGCACCCCACACCACCAGGCCUACUGAUUUGAGAUCUCCUACAGAGGCCCUAAUCCCAGUCAUGAAAGCUCUGCCUUCUUGUCCUAUCCAUGUAUCCCAUGGCUCUUGUUUUCUGGAGCGGGGUGUGGGAAAUGAACAUUCUGUCUUCCUUAGAUGUUUUCUGGAAAUUACGGGUAAAACUAUCUGAGCGAGGUGGUUUUUAGUUUUAGUUUUUUUCACUUGUUAUUCGAGAGACUGAACCAAUAUUCCACUUGAGGGGCCCCCUGUUUUAUCUCUUUCUCUUUAAGUGACUUUGUGUCCUUCCAGGAAUCUUUGAACCCUCUCAGGAGUUUGGAAUUUGAAGCUGCCAGAGGACUUAGCUUUCUCUCCCUGGGAACUCAGCAACUAGAGAAAACGUCCCUUUGAACUCUCACUCUUUGUGGAGUCUGCCCAGGCCUCAAAAAUUUGCCUUCUCCAUCCAGGCUUAGUGAGGGCUCCUGGUAUGUGGAACUGGACAAAGGUGACCAUGGUGUGAGGGGAGUGGAUCCAGGAAGGGAGGUUCAGUCUUGGUCACAGAGUGGUCUUGAACUUGAUUGGUCUAACCUGAGAUCAUUUAAGAGCUUGGAGGCUCAAGAUUUCCCUGCUCUUGUCAUUUCCUGAGAAAUACCUGUCUGACCAUCCUGAGGGUCAAGUGCUUUUUAAACCCAUUGUCUCUCUUGGUAGGCCCUGUGGGCUUGGACCUAGCUGCCUCUGGUCGGUUACCCUCAGGAUGAGUGUCAGGGAGCCCUCCCCGCUGCGGAGGUACACCACGUUCGUUCCCUAAGCCAGCUCUGUGAUAUGCGUGCUUUUCCUGCUCCCGAUGCUGAUUCUGAAUGCAUCUGUCCCAGGUGGCUCAGGAGUCUCUGUGGGAACUGGGGUGACAGAUGAUGGGAACUCCAGCAGUAAACUGAGACUGUUCAGUUCCAGCUGAACACCUUAAGCCACUGAGAGGUGGACCAGGUGCAGAACAGCCCUUGUGGUGAGAACAAGCCACUGCCCGGGAGUCACUCAUCCCCUGAAGACGUUCAUUUCUUCACACUUGUUAAAUUAAUUACAUGUCUCCUCACUGCACCAAAUCCCCGAAAAAAGCAACUUAAAGGAAGGGAGUGUUUUGGCUCACAGUUUGAGGGUCCAGUUUAUUAUGGUGAGGAAGGCAUGGUGGCAGGAGUGUGAGGUGAUGCAAUGUGAGGUCACAUGGCAUCCACCAUCAGUAUUGAGACAGAGGUGAUGGGGGAGAGGAGGAGAGGAGAGGAGGAGAGGAGAGAAGGAGAGGGGAGAGAAAUUCUGGUCCUUUUCACGCAUUGUGUGAUGCCAGCCUACUGAAUGGGGCUGCCUUCCUUUAGGGCAAAUCCUCUUACCUGAACUCAAUCUUGAAGCUCCCUCACAGGUAUGCCCAGAGAGAGGCUUGUCUCCUAGAAGACUCUGGAUCCUGUCAGCUUGACAGUAUGAACCCUCACAGCCUUGCAGGGCCUGCCCUUCACUCUUGACUGCCUGCUGAAUGAAGAGAUAGUUCUUCCUACCCAAAGCUGGCUCCUGGAACUCUCUCCCAAACACUCUUUGCAAACAUCUUUGCAGGACGAGAAGACUUCCAGCCCAUCCACCAUCUCUUUUCCUUCCUGUUUAGUUCUCUCCCUCUUUGUACUAGGUUUCUGCAGUAAUUUGUGAAAUACGGUAAGUCUCUCUUACAAACUUAAAAUAUAGCAGAAAUAUCAAAGUCUGCAGCUCCUGCCCGUCCUUCGCUCUGUAGGUGCAGGGUUUCCCACAGGGACUGCCUACACUUGUCUCCAGUGUUUUACCUCCCUGUCACUCUGCCAUCACUGUAAUCUAGCUUCUGCUGGCACUGUGCCACUAAAACACCCGUGCUUCAGGUGACUAAUGGCCUCUAUGCUCUGCAUGAACGCUCUGCGGAGUUCUGUGCAGAUGAGAACAGCAGGUGAAGCCCGAUCUGCCCUCAGCUCCUGGUUCCUCCCAUGCUUUGGCCACACCUCAGUCCCCUGGCAGGUUCGACCUGCAAGACCUCCAUUAGCUGGGGCCUUCUCUUUUCUUACCACUGAAUUUUCACCUGAAAUGAAGCAAUUUCCUUUACAGUCACUUCCUUAUUCUUCUUUGUCAAGGCUCCAGGUUGGUCCAUCCUUUCACGUGGCUUGGCAGCCAGCCCUAGUGGGUACAAACCAGUCAGUCAAAUGUUAACAUCCCUGCAUGGGCUCCAACUUCCUCUGCUGAGUGGCUUUUCUGGGCUUUGUUCCUCUUUUGAUAAGAGAGACCUUAGGGACUUCUGACCUGCUUUUAUUGAUUUUGACUGGAGACAGGGCUCCUAGACUACUGUAGAACUCACUACCUUAGCACCCCACAAAUUUAGUCAAGAUGUUGGGGGUGUUUCCCAAGAAGCGUGGGUUGUCUGUGUCAUAGCGAGAUGAAUCACCCUGUAAUGGCUCUAAGGCCAUGUUUCUUGUUUUGUGAGAUAGUGAGUUCUUUCUUUGUUGACCUCAAUUCAGGUUGAAGUUUUGGUUAUGGGUAGAUAUGAUUGUGUUCUUUCGGCUCCACACACCACUGAUUUGCAAAAUAUACACAUAUUUCUAUAAUCAUACUGGAAUAAUCUUCAGAGCUUCACAUUUGUAUAGCUCAUGGCUGACUGGCUUAGAGUCACACCUUAGCUAUUUUGAAGACCCCUGUCAUUUCUGGAAGCCAAGUCAUGAUCUGUCCCCUUGGCCUCUCUUUCAUCAAUAUUCUCUCCUGAGUGAGUAGUGUUAUGUGUGUCUAGUUUUGCAUACAGGAACCCAGAAACCCUCCUAGAGCUGCUUUUGCCUCAGCCUUUUGGUCAUCCCUAGUAAAUAUCUUUCUAGCUAAAUUUCUCUCCUCAUUGCCUCUCCUGAAAUGUUUAUUCUCUCUGAUCUCACAUAUGAAUGUUCUUAGUACUAUCUUUCCCCUUCCAGAAUAUCUGCCCUUUGCCCUGUUCUAUUCCCACACACCACAGCAAGGUGCUAUCACCUGGAAGGGACCAAUUAAUGCCCAUGUUUCCUGGCGUAUGGUGGUUUCUGAAAGUUAAUAUUUUCAUUUGACUUCAAGAUGGUGUAAAAAGCGAUAGGUAACCAGGAGAAACCAUAUCUCAGGUUUUUAAUUUUUAUGUUUUCAGAGAUAUAGAUAUUCUGUAUGACCCUUUCUUGUGAUGCUGGCCAGAGGCAGUGGGCUGAGGCUUUUUGUUGGCUCUGUGACCACGAGGGGGGCAACUGAUGCCCUGUCAGCCCAUGCUGCAGUGGUGUUUUCAGGUGGUGGAGACAGAACCUUGUCACAAACUGAAGAACAUCAGUCCUUGAGGAAAUAAUGGAUCAGCUAGCCUGGUGUGUACAGUGGUGUGUGUGUGUGUGCAUACAAGAGACCCCGCCUCAAACAAAGUGUGGAAGGUGAGGACUAACAACAACUGAGGUUGUCCUCUGAUGUCCACACGUCUCAUGGCACUUGCACACCUGUACUCACAAACAUGAUCGUAUGCAAGUGUAUGUACGUGGAUACACAUGCAUACGUACCCAUGCUUUGCAUGCAUUCAUACACGCACACACAUCUGCAAGCACAUGUACACACACACACACAAACACACACACACACACACACACACACACUUCACAGGGCUUCAGAGAGAGGAAAGGAAGUUGGAGCCCACAGUAGAACAUUCCUUUUCCUCUCAGGCUUGGCAGAGCGCAACAAACACCUCUGAGAGGAAGACGGUGCCUACUCCUAGUGAAGUGGUACUGACAGAGCCCAGGGACUUGUGCUCUGACCAAACUGUCCUCAGAACAGGAGUGGGCUGAGCCAGCAUGCAUGUGCUGCCUAAAGGCACUUACGGUACUCCUCCUCCUCUUCUUACUGCAGUGAGAAUAGAAAAUGACCGGCACUCAUGCAGCAUUCUCUUCUGAGCUGGCAGCUUGCUUUCUGGCUGCAGAUAAGCAGCAGGUAUGAGGGAUGUUUGUCAAACCGGCCUCUGAGGGGAACUUUCCCUUCUGCUUUUCCUGUCAAACUAGUGAGUGAAUGCCAUUUCUGCUCCACACUGCAAGCUCCUAGUGUGCAGGUGAAGCUCUGGAUGCUCCCCCCUGCCCCCCCCCACACCCGGCAAGCAGUGGGUCCACAGAGCCCCUUCUGCACUCUUGUGUGUCUGGUUUCUUGGACUAAGCACAGGAUGAAUCAUCCUUGGGGAAAGGUUGAUGGGUGGAGACGUGAGACGCCCAGGAGGAUGUGACUGGCCUGCAGGCAGGACCCUGCACAGUGUGUUCCCCUCCACAGAACUUGCUUCCAGCAGGAGGCACUGGGGGAAGGGUGUUCCCUCCCAGGAGGCUCCUUGGCUCUACUUGGCAAAUGUUACAGUGUGCUACCACGGCUGCAAAUCUCCUCCCUGGUCUUCUGCUCUAGUGGCCCAGCUGUGGUGUAGGGAGCCUUGAGCGCCCCGAGUGGAGAGCUAAACUGCAUCUAAAGUGGAGGAGCAAAGCCAGGGAGAUGACGCUGGGGUGGCUCGAGUCUGAACUGUCCCCCAGGUUCAUGAGUUUGAACAUCUGGUCCUCGUGUGGGGGUGCUACUUGGUGGGUUAUGGAGCCUUUAGGAAGUGGAUCCUGGCUUGAGGAAAUGAGUCACCAGAAGCAGGCUUUUGAGCUUUUAUGACCCGGCACCACUUCCUGUAAAGGCUCUUCUCUUCACAGUGUGACCUGCUGGCUUCCCGCCCCACCCCUACUAUGUGUCUUUCCUCCCUCCCUCCCACGUGACUUCCCCACAACAGUGGCCCAUAUCCCCUCCAACUGUGAGCCUCAGGCAUUUUGUCACAGCAUGGAGGAAUGUAGCUUUGCAUAUGCUGUCUCGGGCUUGCCCCGUGGGGUGGCUUGGCAGUGCAGUGCUCCAAACUCGAUAUCAAGGGUCUGUUACCAUAUUCAUGGCAGCAUUUGGGGACCCACAAAUCUGAAACCUGGGCCAGUGUGUUUUCCCUACAGCAGAGACAUUCCUCCUCAAGAAGUCCAGAGCCUCCACUCGCAUUGGCCUCGGUUACUGUUCUGAACACAAUAUUCCACUGGACAGCAAAGGCCCUCAUUCUCCCUUAGGGCUCUAUGAGGGUCAGAUUCCAAAUGGAGCAAUUGAACAACUUCUCCAUCACUUACUAACAUAUAUUUGGGUUUCAUGGGAUCCUGCCUGGUGAAAAGCCAUGUUCCCUGGGGAUUGGCAGCUGCCCAGAAUAGCAAAUUAGUGACAAUUAGUGACAGGGUCCAAGAGACAAGGGCUUUUAGAUGAAGUGUACACGAGUGGGAAGCCUGGCCAGAGAGAAGCUCCAUGGUGCAGGUCAGCUUCCAGUGCAAAGGAGCAGUCUUCCUCCACAUAACUGUGUGGAUGGAGCCUCUACUUCCUGUCUUGUCCUUUCUGGAGAAGGUCAAGGACACUGGAGACAAGACAGGGACCACUCUGCUUUGUCAGCUGCCUGGGCAGCUGGCAAGAGUCUGAUGAGUACCACUUGUGGAUAUGAGAUCUGUCCCUGGGAAAUGGGGGCUGGCUCAGAACUCGAGUGUCAGAGCCAUGAGCAGCGGGAGCCCACUUGAGGGGAGCUGACAGUCACAGUGGGUGCCGCAAGGCCAGGACGACCAGACACUGGGAAAACCAGGAGCUGAGAGGCCGCGCUUAGCGCACACUGUACCAGAGCAGCCAGGCAGGACUAGAACUGCGGCCCCGCUCUUCUGCAGCCUGCUUGCCGAGUUUCACUUGAACUUGUGUUCCCAUGGCGUCAGGUCACUUCUCAAGCGGGCUCACCCAGUCAGUUCUCUUUGAUCAUGAAAGUAAUCCAACACAGCUACGUGUACAUGUGGAUGUUCCAAGCCCAUUGUGCAAUGUUUUGACUCCACGACUGUCUCUUCCGUAUGCUUGUCUUUAGAGGGGCUGAGAGUGCUGUUAAGUAUCUCCAUUCCAUGCAGGGGGUGAACUAGAAUGGAGAUGGCCCCUAGGAUUGUCCUUAGGCCAAUGCAAGUGUUCUGUUUCCUUAAUUCAUGCUUUCUGGCCCCGUGGAAUGGCCCAACACUAUGGCGCCAGCUGUCCCUACUGGACUCAGUGGGGCCUGAAGCAACGUGUGUCCUGGGAAUAGAGAGUUUAAGAAACAGGCAUUUUCUCCACCCCCAGGCAUUGGGAACCACACACAGACUACUGUCUCUGACUCAGCAGCUCAUGCUCUCCAGCGGAAAGCCAUAUCAAGCAGGAAUCGGCACUGUGUAUGAGCCAGGAGAACCCUCAGCUGACCCGUUUUCAUUGCUGAUGGAAGUUUUAGUACCACAUCUCUGGUUGUCGCUCCUUUGAACAUGGCAAUGUACACAUGGAACUGAUUCUCCAUUUGUCUAAAGCAGAAUCAACCUCAGCUUUCCUAUUUGGGGCAAAUCAAGUGCUCUGAAGGGAAGAAGAAAUGGCCAGAAAACACAAUCUGUCUCACAAAAGACAGAGGCCUAGAGGGAUGUGCUCCGGCUUUUACAAAGGCAGCUGCAGAGGAUUCUGUGGGUAAAGAAUUAAGAGAGGAGCAGGUCAAGAGCCUACCUGCCUCCUGGAGAUAGUGCCAGUGAGCACCACACCCCCUUGGCAGAUCUACACGGCUGUCACCUCUGCUGUCGGGAUGCCUGAGAGUUAUAACAGCUCAGGGCACAGGGAGAAGGGAAUUCUGGGCAUCUCAUCCAUCCUCCCAUGACUCACUGCUACUGCUUAGAUGUAGAAUGUCUCAUCUAGCCCAAGUAUUGGAAGUCUGCUGAGUGGCUUUCUUUUGCUGUAUGCUCUGGCCAUAAUGUGCCACUCCAGACCCCGAGCGAUGAGAAGAAUGAUGCAUGAACUGACGCCUCCAAAGCUCUGAGCCCAAAUAAACCUUCUCUGCCAAUAAGCUGAGUCUGGAGGUUUGCUAACACGAUGGAAGGCUGACUGAUGACAUGUUUGUCUGCUGGGAGGAAGGCACAGAAAAGGACUCCCUGGGGCCAGAGCCAUCCUAGCAUUAAAUACUGCUGAGAAACCUAGAGAUGCUUGAAGCCACAGCAGACCUCCCAGAAAGGUGAGAUCUUUGCUGGAACCCAUAGAUGGGGCAUGAAGUCAGUGUUCAAAUGAUGACCUUUGGGCUUGAAGGAGCCAUGAAAGUCACCACUGGCAAGAUGUUAAAAGAAGUCUGUUGCAUACAUUCUUAUUUAGCACCAGAGAUAUUGGAGGGCCUGGGGUAUCACAGACUUCCCACCAACACAUGAAGCCUUGGCAUACUGAUUUACACUAUGGUCACUGGGUUCACAUUAUACAAGGCACCAAACCCUUCAGAUCUGCACCAGCUGAUCACAGGCACUCAAGGCCACCAAGCAUGUGAAAAACUGGCAAAUCUUUAUAUCCUAUUUGCCUGUUGUAAGUUCUGGGGACAGGAUAACCAUAGACCAACUCAUGGAGCACCUAAGGCUAUGUCUCCGUGAUGAAGCUUUGUCACCAGCCCCUCACAGAAAUCAUCCCAAUAAUUCGAAUCACCAAGAUUGUGGAAGCCAUGGGCACGGUGAGCUACAAAGUCCAAGAAAUCGUGGAACAUGUAGGAAAGAGAAAGCCUAAUGAAGUCUCAGCAGCAGGCACUCUACUGAAAUACUGAUUAAGCCAUGGGCACGUUUUCAUCAAACAGGAAAGUUUGUGAAGUGCCAUUCAAACAUGGGCCCUACAGGUCCUCUCCCCUCCUCCUCCCUCUUAAUUUCAUCUCAUCUCGGAAGAGCCAACUGCAAGAGGUGGAUGAAAAAGGAAGGGGCAAGGGAUGCUCGAGGUCUAGCUUACCUGACCUAUUAUGCCGCUGUCCUUCUAAUCCAGCCCCACAAGAUAUUGCUGUGGAUGCCAGUAGCAUCCGCAGUGCUAUGGAGAUCAGUAUUGACUUGAGAUUCAGUGAAACAUCGCCUGAUGAUAUAGCCUCCAUGGAGCCUCCCCAGGAUGGGGAAACCAAAGAUGAGAACGACAGGGGCAGGUCCCCCAAGGAACCAUCACUGGGUCCUAUCAUCAGCGACCACCAGCCCCAGUUGCACCCACAGCCUCCAGCACUACUAGACGAAGGGAUGAAAGGAGGAGAGGAGGCACAUUGUUCACUUGCUUCAUACUCCAUGUUGUUGCCUCCCUACCUUGGAGGAAAACCGUGCAUUUCCCAGGAGUAGAAACAACCCCAGGUCUGUGGUCAUCAAACCACAGGGCUGGGGUCAGCCUGGUAUGGACUGAGAGCUACAGGAAGGAGCCAAGCCAGAACUCCAGGAGACUGUAUGCUCAAAUGCCUGUUGCCAGACAGACUUCCCUGGGAAUCAGGCACAAGCUCCUCCACCCCUCCCCUAGCUGCCGGGUCUGAGCUAACAGCUCCUGCCUCCUUUAGUUCACUGGGUCUCCAAUACUGUUGUCCGGAGAAGGACAUGGUCCACAUGGCUUCCACCUUAUGAAGCUACAUUCCUCCAGUAUAGAUGGGAUGGAACACCCACAGUGAGAGAACUGAGUGCCCCACUGGACUCAAGGACCUUCAUCAGCUUGAUCCCUCAUCCUCACCAACAUUAUCACCAACUGCUGCAGAAACUGUUUUCCAUCCUCUAAGCACCAAAGGUGUUGGUUCCCCAUCCCAGGAUUCCAGAAACUGGUAGAAGUUUUCCUAUCCCGCUGAGAGAUUUCUUGACCGUCAUUUUGACUAGGCUUUUGAGUUUUUUUUCUGUGACACCUAGGCAGGGAUCGCCUUUCCUUGUUACAGAGGACAGAGGUGUCCAGGCGGCCUUAAACUUUCUGCCCAUUCUCCAGACAGACUUUUGGCUUGCUACCUGAGAGCAGAGAAUUAGCUUCUCCAGACAACCUCGAAAGGGUUUGAGAAUGUGUCCUCUGCUGAGCCCCACAAAGUCAAUGUAUAACUGUGCCUGCCCUCUGGACAGAUCACCCGGGGAAGGGCGGUGUCUCCCUCCCUCCUGUCCCAGGACACUGCUAAUGGGAAUAUGAGGAACUUGAGAACAUCCAUAUGGACAAUCUCUCGUUGGCCUUCUCAGGACUUGGUCUGCCCUGAAGGAGCCACAGCUCAGUCAGGCUGCAUUUGAGAUCACAAGUUUUAACUAAACACAGAGCACAGUAGCUGAUGCAUGCUAUUGGUGACUACCCGGAUGGUUUAGAAGACACUGUAAAUGAACUCCAAGGGCUCUCAUGUCCAUGAGUGCCAAGACAAAUCAGGCAGAUGGUGGUACACACAGAGACGGAAAGAUUGAAUACUUGCAGCAGGGGUAGUGACACAGUUCUGAAACCUCCUUUUGUGAGGACUGCUGUUACCCUUUGUUGUCAUCCCACAAGAAGAGGGCCUGGCAUCAGGGAUAGUGCUCAGCUCGCAGCUCACAACGGAACCCCCAUCUCCAGGGAAUGGUCAACUGCACUGCAUGAGUGUGACAGUGCAUGGCUGUUUCCAUGUACUGCUUCGCUUUUCUCUGCAGGGAUCUGUCUCCCCACUUGCAGAGCACAGAGGUGUCCAGGUGGCACUAACUGCCCUCACACAUUCCCCAGGCUCCUUUCUGCUGCUACAGGACACCCUCCGUUGGGGUACGUUCCAUCAGGUCUCAAGUUUCUUCCCGCCCUGGAAUGCCUGCAAACCAAACGGGAAACAGUAGUAUCAUUAGACAUGCCAAACUCUGAGCUCCUCUCAUUGUGAGGUUUGCAGCUUAUCAUCUUUGCGUUUUUUUUUUUUUUUUUUUUUUUUUUUUUUUUUUUUAGUUAGAUCCCAUUUGCUUAGUAAAACUUUCCCAGAAAACACAAACAAAAACCAGAAAACCAACGACCCUUUGUCCUAAGGAAUGAAGACAAUGAAGUAGAAACAUGGAAUGAACUGUCUAGGUCUUGUGUGGGUCUCCUCCAGGAAUCCUGUGAGCCACAGGGUUCCCCUCUCUAUACUGCUGCCUCAUGCACACAGUUCGGAGUCAUCUAUCCCACAGUGUCUCCGAUGUAGUCAGACCAUAAUCUAAGGAGCGGCUGUAGCUUGGGCCACAGCACAUCAACCUUUCUUGUACCUUUGGAAGUGCAAAUGAGAGGUGCCAGUUCAUUAGACCCAUGCUGCUAGGUAUGGUGUGCAGGGUGCUGUGGAGUCCUAGACAGGCUGGAGACUGGACCACGGACAGAAACCUUCAGAAACCGGGGCCCAAAUCACUCUUCCAUGGUUGUAAGUUGAAUACCUCAGGGUUUGUACAUCGAAGGAAGGCUGACUGGCAUACUUGUCUCCUUGGAGGAAGAAGGCAUUGUAUGGAUUUUCCCUCCAAAUUGCUUAAGGAAGAGACUCUGAGUGGUGCAAAUGCAGAGAAGAAGGGGUUUGGACUGCAGGGAGCCCCAGGUCUGCAGCCUCUGUGGACUGUCACCCAAGUUUGGGUGGGCUUUCCGGUGAUAGAAAUUGCUAGAGUCAUUGCUGUACCUUGUGCAGAACAUCUCAUCAAUAUUCCCGGUCGUAACCCCAAUAAAACCUCAUUGUCUCACCAACUAGAA
Non-coding RNA from Peromyscus maniculatus bairdii (prairie deer mouse), 12017 nucleotides. The record is from RefSeq and is a predicted model, not a curated record. NCBI's taxonomy places the organism in Eukaryota, Metazoa, Chordata, Mammalia, Rodentia, Cricetidae.